RNAcentral lists this ribosomal RNA (3276 nucleotides) under Saccharomyces cerevisiae YJM1383. Its description in RNAcentral is "21S ribosomal RNA". The stretch from base 183 to 3129 matches the Rfam family "Bacterial large subunit ribosomal RNA". The record is from RNAcentral. Lineage: Eukaryota; Fungi; Ascomycota; Saccharomycetes; Saccharomycetales; Saccharomycetaceae.
GUAAAAAGUAGAAUAAUAGAUUUGAAAUAUUUAUUAUAUAGAUUUAAAGAGAUAAUCAUGGAGUAUAAUAAUUAAAUUUAAUAAAUUUAAUAUAACUAUUAAUAGAAUUAGGUUACUAAUAAAUUAAUAACAAUUAAUUUUAAAACCUAAAGGUAAACCUUUAUAUUAAUAAUGUUAUUUUUUAUUAUAUUUAUAAUAAGAAUAAUUAUUAAUAAUAAUAAACUAAGUGAACUGAAACAUCUAAGUAACUUAAGGAUAAGAAAUCAACAGAGAUAUUAUGAGUAUUGGUGAGAGAAAAUAAUAAAGGUCUAAUAAGUAUUAUGUGAAAAAAAUGUAAGAAAAUAGGAUAACAAAUUCUAAGACUAAAUACUAUUAAUAAGUAUAGUAAGUACCGUAAGGGAAAGUAUGAAAAUGAUUAUUUUAUAAGCAAUCAUGAAUAUAUUAUAUUAUAUUAAUGAUGUACCUUUUGUAUAAUGGGUCAGCAAGUAAUUAAUAUUAGUAAAACAAUAAGUUAUAAAUAAAUAGAAUAAUAUAUAUAUAUAUAAAAAUAUAUUAAAAUAUUUAAUUAAUAUUAAUUGACCCGAAAGCAAACGAUCUAACUAUGAUAAGAUGGAUAAACGAUCGAACAGGUUGAUGUUGCAAUAUCAUCUGAUUAAUUGUGGUUAGUAGUGAAAGACAAAUCUGGUUUGCAGAUAGCUGGUUUUCUAUGAAAUAUAUGUAAGUAUAGCCUUUAUAAAUAAUAAUUAUUAUAUAAUAUUAUAUUAAUAUUAUAUAAAGAAUGGUACAGCAAUUAAUAUAUAUUAGGGAACUAUUAAAGUUUUAUUAAUAAUAUUAAAUCUCGAAAUAUUUAAUUAUAUAUAAUAAAGAGUCAGAUUAUGUGCGAUAAGGUAAAUAAUCUAAAGGGAAACAGCCCAGAUUAAGAUAUAAAGUUCCUAAUAAAUAAUAAGUGAAAUAAAUAUUAAAAUAUUAUAAUAUAAUCAGUUAAUGGGUUUGACAAUAACCAUUUUUUAAUGAACAUGUAACAAUGCACUGAUUUAUAAUAAAUAAAAAAAAAUAAUAUUUAAAAUCAAAUAUAUAUAUAUUUGUUAAUAGAUAAUAUACGGAUCUUAAUAAUAAGAAUUAUUUAAUUCCUAAUAUGGAAUAUUAUAUUUUUAUAAUAAAAAUAUAAAUACUGAAUAUCUAAAUAUUAUUAUUACUUUUUUUUUAAUAAUAAUAAUAUGGUAAUAGAACAUUUAAUGAUAAUAUAUAUUAGUUAUUAAUUAAUAUAUGUAUUAAUUAAAUAGAGAAUGCUGACAUGAGUAACGAAAAAAAGGUAUAAACCUUUUCACCUAAAACAUAAGGUUUAACUAUAAAAGUACGGCCCCUAAUUAAAUUAAUAAGAAUAUAAAUAUAUUUAAGAUGGGAUAAUCUAUAUUAAUAAAAAUUUAUCUUAAAAUAUAUAUAUUAUUAAUAAUUAUAUUAAUAAUAUAUAUAAUUAUAUUAUAUAUUUUUUUUUUUAUAUAAUAUAAACUAAUAAAGAUCAGGAAAUAAUUAAUGUAUACCGUAAUGUAGACCGACUCAGGUAUGUAAGUAGAGAAUAUGAAGGUGAAUUAGAUAAUUAAAGGGAAGGAACUCGGCAAAGAUAGCUCAUAAGUUAGUCAAUAAAGAGUAAUAAGAACAAAGUUGUACAACUGUUUACUAAAAACACCGCACUUUGCAGAAACGAUAAGUUUAAGUAUAAGGUGUGAACUCUGCUCCAUGCUUAAUAUAUAAAUAAAAUUAUUUAACGAUAAUUUUAUUAAAUUUAGGUAAAUAGCAGCCUUAUUAUGAGGGUUAUAAUGUAGCGAAAUUCCUUGGCCUAUAAUUGAGGUCCCGCAUGAAUGACGUAAUGAUACAACAACUGUCUCCCCUUUAAGCUAAGUGAAAUUGAAAUCGUAGUGAAGAUGCUAUGUACCUUCAGCAAGACGGAAAGACCCUAUGCAGCUUUACUGUAAUUAGAUAGAUCGAAUUAUUGUUUAUUAUAUUCAGCAUAUUAAGUAAUCCUAUUAUUAGGUAAUCGUUUAGAUAUUAAUGAGAUACUUAUUAUAAUAUAAUGAUAAUUCUAAUCUUAUAAAUAAUUAUUAUUAUUAUUAUUAAUAAUAAUAAUAUGCUUUCAAGCAUAGUGAUAAAACAUAUUUAUAUGAUAAUCACUUUACUUAAUAGAUAUAAUUCUUAAGUAAUAUAUAAUAUAUAUUUUAUAUAUAUUAUAUAUAAUAUAAGAGACAAUCUCUAAUUGGUAGUUUUGAUGGGGCGUCAUUAUCAGCAAAAGUAUCUGAAUAAGUCCAUAAAUAAAUAUAUAAAAUUAUUGAAUAAAAAAAAUAAUAUAUAUUAUAUAUAUUAAUUAUAAAUUGAAAUAUGUUUAUAUAAAUUUAUAUUUAUUGAAUAUAUUUUAGUAAUAGAUAAAAAUAUGUACAGUAAAAUUGUAAGGAAAACAAUAAUAACUUUCUCCUCUCUCGGUGGGGGUUCACACCUAUUUUUAAUAGGUGUUCACCCCUCUUCGGGGUUCCGGUUCCCUUUCGGGUCCCGGAACUUAAAUAAAAAUGGAAAGAAUUAAAUUAAUAUAAUGGUAUAACUGUGCGAUAAUUGUAACACAAACGAGUGAAACAAGUACGUAAGUAUGGCAUAAUGAACAAAUAACACUGAUUGUAAAGGUUAUUGAUAACGAAUAAAAGUUACGCUAGGGAUAACAGGGUAAUAUAGCGAAAGAGUAGAUAUUGUAAGCUAUGUUUGCCACCUCGAUGUCGACUCAACAUUUCCUCUUGGUUGUAAAAGCUAAGAAGGGUUUGACUGUUCGUCAAUUAAAAUGUUACGUGAGUUGGGUUAAAUACGAUGUGAAUCAGUAUGGUUCCUAUCUGCUGAAGGAAAUAUUAUCAAAUUAAAUCUCAUUAUUAGUACGCAAGGACCAUAAUGAAUCAACCCAUGGUGUAUCUAUUGAUAAUAAUAUAAUAUAUUUAAUAAAAAUAAUACUUUAUUAAUAUAUUAUCUAUAUUAGUUUAUAUUUUAAUUAUAUAUUAUCAUAGUAGAUAAGCUAAGUUGAUAAUAAAUAAAUAUUGAAUACAUAUUAAAUAUGAAGUUGUUUUAAUAAGAUAAUUAAUCUGAUAAUUUUAUACUAAAAUUAAUAAUUAUAGGUUUUAUAUAUUAUUUAUAAAUAUAAUAUAAUAAUUAUUAUUAUUAAUAAAAAAAAUAUUAAUUAUAAUAUUAAUAAAAUACUAAUUUAUCAGUUAUCUAUAUAAUAUCUAAUCUAUUAUUCUAUAUACU